RNAcentral lists this long non-coding RNA (1277 nucleotides) under Equus caballus (horse). RNAcentral describes it as "lncRNA (ENSECAG00000048070.1)". Lineage: Eukaryota; Metazoa; Chordata; Mammalia; Perissodactyla; Equidae. The record is from RNAcentral.
GUACUUAGUUCUUUACAUCAUUCUCAAAAGGCUGAAUACUGAUACAAGGUGAGUAGUUUUAAUCAUUACUGAUUUCAUAAAGUACUUGAGUUUUGAGUAGGAUUUUGAAGGAGUGGAAAGACACUCCACUAAAGAGAUAUACAGUGGACCUACCAGAAGGAAUGGAUGUAAAAGGUGGGCUUGACAAGUGUACAUGGCAGAAAAGAACAAAGUCUGAAUUGACACUGAGAAGUGCUGGCUUCUAUUCUUAACAACCAAGGAGGGAAGACUUCGGAGCCUCAUUUACUCCUCAGCAAAUCAGGCCUAAAGGACCUCUAGCAUCAUGUCUGGCUCCAAAAUUCCACGGAUGUGUCAUUUUAACAUCACUGGUGAUUAUGAAAGCAAAUAUUUUCUCUGUACAAGUAAGAGUGGAAAGUGUAGCAUCUUAGGAACUGAUAACUUUCACAUGAGGGUGAUGAGCCAGGAUACAGAGUCACACACGGAAGGAAUUUAGGAGCCAUUUAAAUGUCUAUGAUGUUUGAAAAUCCUGGAAAACACAUAAUAGAAAGCAAUCAUUUACUGAUACCAAGGCAGAGAGAGUCUAGACAAAUUAGGGCUGGGUGAAUGUCUUCUAAAGUUCAUUAUUCCUAUAUAGUUUUGCUUCUGAUUGACACUAGAACAUGACUGACAGAAUCUCCUAUUCUGGGUUAGAUGGCUGUGAUUUAAACAUCUCAGCAUUUUCCCAGAAGAAUCAGACUCACAAAAUGAAAGGAUCCAACCAGAAGUUUAUUGUGUAGUAAUUACACAUCUUAACUCCCCUUCAACCUUCACUACACUGCACUUUCACUACUCAUCAAUGCGGGCAGGAAGGACGGGUGCAGCCAGACGAGAACAUUUAAGAAACAAGCAAUUUGUGUGUGUCUAUAUAGUUCAGUGAUGCUACUGCAAGGGAAUACAAAACCAGGCACCAGGCUCUGGAAAGAAAGAGACGUUUCCCAAUCUCAUUUUUCCCAUCGGCGCUGCCGGAAAUAGCGAUUGUAGGCAGCAUCGUAUCCGUAAACCAUAGCAUAGCGUUCGCAAAGUUUGAAGUCCUCACAGGCUUCCCGGUUGAGCUCAUGGGCAGGCUUGGUGCUUUCUCGGAUCCUAGAAAGAGGAAAACAAGAGACAAACUGAGAAGCAGAAAGAGAGUGGAGAAAAUAAGAAAAAGGAAAAGGAAAAAAAGAAAGAAUAAGAAAAUCGCAGAGAAAUAGCCCAUUUGCCGCCAAUAUUAAGAGAGAUUUGAAAAGCAGGGAGGAAAG